Molecule: ribosomal RNA, 322 nt
Filed under: Cyclophora tenuis
Lineage: Eukaryota; Bacillariophyta; Fragilariophyceae; Cyclophorales; Cyclophoraceae
Description: partial Bacterial large subunit ribosomal RNA
Rfam family: Bacterial large subunit ribosomal RNA
Source: RNAcentral
GAAACAUCUAAGUACCCGGAGGAAGAGAAAGAAAUUCGAUUCCGUAAGUAGCGGCGAGCGAAAGCGGAACAGGCCAAACCAAUGAAGUUUACUUCGUUGGGGUUGCGGACAUACAACAUGGAUGCAAUAUCGUAAAUGAAGAGAGUUGGAAAGCUCCGCCAUAGAAGGUAAUAGCCCUGUAAUUGAAACGAGAAAGCUACUAGUAUGAUCCAGAGUACCACGGGACACGUGAAACCCUGUGGGAAGCAGGAGGGACCAUCCUCCAAGCCUAAAUACUACCUAGUGACCGAUAGCGCAUAGUACCGUGAGGGAAAGGUGAAAA